Molecule: unclassified non-coding RNA, 381 nt
Filed under: soil metagenome
Description: partial contains 5.8S ribosomal RNA, internal transcribed spacer 2, and large subunit ribosomal RNA
Rfam family: 5.8S ribosomal RNA (bases 1-120)
Source: RNAcentral
GAUGAAGAACGCAGUGAAAUGCGAUACGUAAUGUGAAUUGCAGAAUUCAGUGAAUCAUCGAAUCUUUGAACGCACAUUGCACUCCUUGGUAUUCCGAGGAGUAUGCCUGUUUCAGUAUCAUGAGCACUCUCACACCUAACCUUUGGGUUUAUGGCGUGGAAUUGGAAUGCGCCGACUGUCAUGGUUGGCCCUUCUAAAAUGUAGUUCUUGGCUGUCACCUAAUACAGCAGUUUGGCCUAAUAGUUUUGGCAUUCAUUGUCAAAUCUUUGGCUAACAUUUGCUCCAGGAGUCAGUCUUGAUAAUACAGAAAACUCAUUCAAAUUUUGAUCUGAAAUCAGGUAGGGCUACCCGCUGAACUUAAGCAUAUCAAUAAGCGGAGGA